This 1303-nucleotide ribosomal RNA is filed under the name uncultured bacterium. RNAcentral's name for it is "partial 16S ribosomal RNA". It matches the Rfam family "Bacterial small subunit ribosomal RNA", at positions 79 to 1399 of the family's 1533-position model. The record is from RNAcentral.
UGAAGUGACUUAUUUAGUGGCGGACGAGUGAGUAACGCGUGAACAAUCUGCCCUGUACAGAGGAAUAGCCUCGGGAAACCGGGAUUAAAACCACAUGACACUUAAGUACCGCAUGGUGCAUAAGUCAAAUAUUUAUAGGUAUGGGAUGAGUUCGCGUCUGAUUAGCUAGUUGGUGGGGUAAAGGCCUACCAAGGCGACGAUCAGUAGCCGGUCUGAGAGGAUGAACGGCCACAUUGGGACUGAGAUACGGCCCAGACUCCUACGGGAGGCAGCAGUGGGGAAUAUUGGGCAAUGGGCGAAAGCCUGACCCAGCAACGCCGCGUGAAGGAAUAAGGCCUUCGGGUUGUAAACUUCUUUUAUCAGGGACGAAGGAUGUGACGGUACCUGAUGAAUAAGCCACGGCUAACUACGUGCCAGCAGCCGCGGUAAUACGUAGGUGGCAAGCGUUGUCCGGAUUUACUGGGCGUAAAGGGAGCGUAGGCGGAUUUUUAAGUGAGAUGUGAAAUACUCGGGCUUAACCUGGGUGCUGCAUUUCAAACUGGAAGUCUAGAGUGCAGGAGAGGAGAAGGGAAUUCCUAGUGUAGCGGUGAAAUGCGUAGAGAUUAGGAAGAACACCAGUGGCGAAGGCGGCUUUCUGGACUGUAACUGACACUGAGGCACGAAAGCGUGGGGAGCAAACAGGAUUAGAUACCCUGGUAGUCCACGCCGUAAACGAUGAGCACUAGGUGUCGGGGGUCGCAAGGCUUCGGUGCCGCAGUUAACGCAUUAAGAGAUCCGCCUGGGGAGUACGUACGCAAGUAUGAAACUCAAAGGAAUUGACGGGGACCCGCACAAGCAGCGGAGCAUGUGGUGUAAUUUGUAGCAACGCGAAGAACCUUACCAGGGCUUGACAUCCCUCUGACGGGCGGGUAACGGCGCCUUCCCUUCGGGGCAGAGGAGACAGGUGGUGCAUGGUUGUCGUCAGCUCGUGUCGUGAGAUGUUGGGUUAAGUCCCGCAACGAGCGCAACCCCCGCUAUUAGUUGCUAACAUUCAGAUGAGCACUCUAAUGGGACUGCCCGUGACAAGCGGGAGGAAGGUGGGGAGGACGUCAAAUCAUCAUGCCCUCUAUGAUCUGGGCUACACACGUGCUACAAUGGAUGGUACAGAGAGCAGCGAGACAGUGAUGUGGAGCGAAUCUCAAAAAACCAUUCUCAGUUCGGAUUGCAGGCUGCAACUCGCCUGCAUGAAGUCGGAAUCGCUAGUAAUCGCGGAUCAGCAUGUCGCGGUGAAUGAAAUCCCGGGCCUUGUACUCACCGCCCGUCA